Molecule: long non-coding RNA, 358 nt
Organism: Physeter macrocephalus (sperm whale)
Lineage: Eukaryota; Metazoa; Chordata; Mammalia; Artiodactyla; Physeteridae
Exons: 3
Source: RefSeq, a predicted model, not a curated record
CGGAAGGCGAGGGACGCUUUCGAGUCCAGCGUGCGGCGUCCCCGGCAGCGGCAGAGCCAGCCCGCAGGUCUUCGCGUGGGACUGUCCAGUUGACGGUUUUGGUGACCACGAAGGACCCAGAGCAGACUUGUCUUCUUCACUUGAACUCUGCGAGGAUCUGGAGCUUGGUACCAACAGAGGCCUCUUUGGUCCGUGCACCUCAUCAGAGAGUCCAGACGAAUUUGGACACAGCCUGCUAUGAAUGUCACCAGCCCUCUGCCUCCCCCAUUCAAGGGACAGACACUCCCUCAGGAUUUGAAUCCUGAUUGGACUGACUGAGAGUCUGAAGACAGCAGGUGCUGUCCCCACCAGCAGAGGC